RNAcentral lists this non-coding RNA (218 nucleotides) under Massilia sp. Root351. RNAcentral also lists the same sequence under 1 other name. Lineage: Bacteria; Pseudomonadati; Pseudomonadota; Betaproteobacteria; Burkholderiales; Oxalobacteraceae. The record is from RNAcentral.
CGCGGCAUUAACGUGAUUGGUGCCCUCCCGCUUGCCGGCUGGAGGGUGAAACGGGAAGCCGGUGACGCGCGGGAUUUUCAUCUCGCGCCAGUCCGGCGCAGCCCCCGCUGCUGUAAGCCUGACGACUUCGAUCGAACGCCACUGUGCACCGCACGGGAAGGCAGGGUUGAGGAAGGAUGAAGGCCAGCCAGAAGACCGGCCAGUCACGAAGAUUGCGC